Molecule: transfer RNA, 92 nt
Organism: Serendipita vermifera MAFF 305830
Lineage: Eukaryota; Fungi; Basidiomycota; Agaricomycetes; Sebacinales; Serendipitaceae
Rfam family: tRNA
About the family: Transfer RNA (tRNA) molecules are approximately 80 nucleotides in length. Their secondary structure includes four short double-helical elements and three loops (D, anti-codon, and T loops).
Source: Rfam
GGCCUUGUGGCGCAAUGGUAGCGUGUCCGCCUCCUAUUUGUGGUAUAGGGUUUGCUAGCGGGAGGUUUAGGGUUCGAGUCCCUACUGGGUCA